Molecule: unclassified non-coding RNA, 338 nt
Filed under: soil metagenome
Description: partial contains 5.8S ribosomal RNA, internal transcribed spacer 2, and large subunit ribosomal RNA
Rfam family: 5.8S ribosomal RNA (bases 1-120)
Source: RNAcentral
GAUGAAGAACGUAGCGAAAUGCGAUAAGUAGUGUGAAUUGCAGAAUUCAGUGAAUCAUCGAAUCUUUGAACGCACAUUGCGCCCCUUGGUAUUCCAUGGGGCAUGCCUGUUCGAGCGUCAUUUGUACCUUCAAGCUCUGCUUGGUGUUGGGUGUUUGUCUCGCCUCUGCGUGUAGACUCGCCUCAAAGUCAUUGGCAGCCCGCAUCUCGCCGGCCGUGAGCGCAGCACAGACGCGCUCUUGGCAACGACGGAUCGGCUCUCCAAAAGCUUAUUUCAACCACUGACCUCGGAUCAGGUAGGGAUACCCGCUGAACUUAAGCAUAUCAAUAAGCGGAGGA